GUCUAUGGCCAUAGCACCCUGAACACGCCUGAUCUCAUCUGAUCUUGGAAGCUAAGCAUGGUCAGGCCUGGUUAGUACUUGGAUGGGAGAAAAAAAAGUUGAUAUAAGUA
Cercocebus atys (sooty mangabey) is the source of this 110-nucleotide ribosomal RNA. The record is from Ensembl. Lineage: Eukaryota; Metazoa; Chordata; Mammalia; Primates; Cercopithecidae.